GAAAUGCGAUAAGUAAUGUGAAUUGCAGAAUUCCGUGAAUCAUCGAAUCUUUGAACGCACAUUGCGCCCUCUGGUAUUCCGGGGGGCAUGCCGGUCCGAGCGUCAUUGCGAACCCCUCAAGCACGGCUUGUGUGAUGGGCCCUCCCGCGUCUUGGUCGUCAAGACGGGCCCGAAAUGCAGUGGCGGCUUCGCGGUUAUCCGAUCAGCCAGAGCGUAUGGGGACUUUCUCUCUGUCACACGCCCGCGGCGCGGACCGACGCCUGUCGACCUUUAUUCAUCUUUUUCUCGGUUGACCUCGGAUCAGGUAGGGAUACCCGCUGAACUUAAGC
RNAcentral lists this unclassified non-coding RNA (329 nucleotides) under plant metagenome. Its description in RNAcentral is "partial contains 5.8S ribosomal RNA, internal transcribed spacer 2, and large subunit ribosomal RNA". The stretch from base 1 to 105 matches the Rfam family "5.8S ribosomal RNA", at positions 50 to 154 of the family's 154-position model. The record is from RNAcentral.